GGGGAUUUAGCUCAGCGGUAGAGCACUUGCCUAGGAAGCGCAAGGCCCUGGGUUCGAUCCCCAGCUCCG
Molecule: non-coding RNA, 69 nt
Organism: Rattus norvegicus (Norway rat)
Lineage: Eukaryota; Metazoa; Chordata; Mammalia; Rodentia; Muridae
Source: Rfam